RNAcentral lists this ribosomal RNA (505 nucleotides) under uncultured bacterium. RNAcentral's name for it is "bacterial SSU rRNA". It matches the Rfam family "Bacterial small subunit ribosomal RNA", at positions 28 to 459 of the family's 1533-position model. The record is from RNAcentral.
GACGAACGCUGGCGGCGUGCUUAACACAUGCAAGUCGAGCGGGGGAAUACUGGCACUGGCUGUCUUGGCCUACUGCCGCAGGGAGCGAGGAGCUGUCAGCGGCAGGGGGGGAUUAAGGGGCAGCGAGUGCUGGUAUACUCUAGCGGCGGACGGGUGAGUAACGCGUGAACAAUCUAUCCCGGACAGGGGGAUAACAGCUGGAAACAGUUGCUAAUACCGCAUAAGACCACGGCAUCGCAUGGUGCAGGGGUAAAAGAACAAUCGGUUUGGGGUGAGUUCGCGUCCCAUUAGCUGGUUGGUGAGGUAAAGGCUCACCAAGGCAACGAUGGGUAGCCGACCUGAGAGGGUGAACGGCCACACUGGAACUGAGAUACGGUCCAGACUCCUACGGGAGCAGCAGUGGGGAAUAUUGGGCAAUGGGCGGAAGCCUGACCCAGCAACGCCGCGUGAGGGAAGAAGGUUUUCGGAUUGUAAACCUCUGUCCUUGGGGACGAAGGACGUGACC